This 513-nucleotide ribosomal RNA is filed under the name uncultured bacterium. RNAcentral's name for it is "partial 16S ribosomal RNA". It matches the Rfam family "Bacterial small subunit ribosomal RNA", at positions 28 to 523 of the family's 1533-position model. The record is from RNAcentral.
GAUGAACGCUGGCGGCGUGCCUAAUACAUGCAAGUCGAACGCGCAGCGAAAGGUGCUUGCACCUUUCAAGCGAGUGGCGAACGGGUGAGUAACACGUGGAUAACCUGCCUCAAGGCUGGGGAUAACAUUUGGAAACAGAUGCUAAUACCGAAUAAAACUUAGUAUCGCAUGAUACAAAGUUAAAAGGCGCUACGGCGUCACCUAGAGAUGGAUCCGCGGGGCAUUAGUUAGUUGGUGGGGUAAAGGCUUACCAAGACGAUGAUGCAUAGCCGAGUUGAGAGACAGAUCGGCCACAUUGGGACUGAGACACGGCCCAAACUCCUACGGGAGGCUGCAGUAGGGAAUCUUCCACAAUGGGCGCAAGCCUGAUGGAGCAACGCCGCGUGUGUGAUGAAGGCUUUCGGGUCGUAAAGCACUGUUGUAUGGGAAGAAAUGCUAAAAUAGGGAAUGAUUUUAGUUUGACGGUACCAUACCAGAAAGGGACGGCUAAAUACGUGCCAGCCGCCGCGGUAA